UGGCGCGGUGCCCGGCAGCCCUUCACUGCUGCCUUUUCAUUCCCCUUAAUUCACUGCCUUUCCUUGCAAGGAACAGAGGGAGAGCUUGUUCCAGCAGACGGGCCCCAUCCGCUCCUCCCGUCCGAGGGCUGGGAAGAAGGGAUGGAGGCGAAGGGAACUCUCCCACCCCUCCGGGGCCCCGCGGGCGCGCUGCUUCCCAGAAAAUACGGUAAAAAGCCUUCAGCCUAAAAAUAACUGCAGCCCGUGGCUGCCCAAGGCUGAGGAACCAGCCCCUCGGGGCUCACUUAGAGAUGUCAACGUGUGGCCAUUGGCCGGUCUCUCUGAUGGGCAGAAGUCAUCUGGCGAGGUGCUGAUCCUCCUAUAGUGUUUGCAAGAUCUUUAAGAAGAAUUGCAUGGCCGAUGUCGUUGCGUUUGAGUUGUGCUAGAAUACCCUGACCAUCAGAGGACUUGGAUUUUAUGACAGAAGAGAUCAGCACUGCAAAGACAUGGCGAUGUUGUUCACAUUGCCUGGACCUGAGCCCAGGGUCCGGGACCAGACCUGUCUCAUACCCACACCUUAGAAGACAGCGCCGUGUUCGUGUUUUCUUUUUGCAGGCUGAAAGCUUUCCUGGACCUGCUGAACACUUCUGCUGUAAUCUGUCGUGGCUGUCAGGGUGCCAAGAGACAUGCCAGACCCUGGGCCACAAUAGUGGAACAGACAUGCCCAGAGCUGAAAGCUGGCACAAGGUAGUGUAUAAAGUGAGAUAUGUGAAGCCACGGGCAAAUAGUUUGGUAAUCACGUGGGUCAGUUAGGCUUGGCACAGGGCAGAGCCUGUCUGCUCAUCAAGGAAGGCAGAGACAAAACUUCGUCAUAGAAUCAUAGAAUAUUUGAAUUAUUGAAUCAUUGAAUGGCUUGGGUUAGAAGGGACCUUACAGCCCACCCAGCUCCAACCCCAGUGCCAUGGGCACAGUUGCCACUCACUGCAUCAGGUUGCCCAGUGCCCCACACAACCUGGUCUUGAGAAGAGUUGGGGGACUUCUUAAUGAGAGCUACGAGGAUUAAACAAAAACAAUUACUCCAGAAGGACUGAGGUAAAGGACACAGUGUUGUCUCAGUGGGGUCGCAAACACAUUUCAAAACAGAUUUUUGCAGAAAGAGAUGUUUCCCAUUCCCCAGAUAUCUUGUUCCCAACAACGAUUCUCGUUUCACAGUAAGGUUCAGGGUUGGAGGAAGGAGCAUGAGCCUUGCUCAGCAUUGGUGCAGGGGAUGCUCCACGUGUCUCCUCACCUAGAAAGCUAAACCUCAAAGAAUAGAAGAGCACAAUUCACUCCUCGCAGAUGGGGAAAUGGUGCAGUGAGUCAGCAAGGCAGACCACAGAUGCUGUCCAAAAGCAUUGCAGCAAUUAGUUGGAGCAAGGUGGAGAUAUAUUCCUCCAAAAUGAAAGUCUCUGUAGGCUGUUACCAGUGCUCACAGCCAUCUAGUCCCUUGCUGAACAUUUCUGACCAAAAUCCUUCCAAGCUGAUCUAUUUUCAGCCCAACCCACUCGAUACCUUGAUUGCUACGCAGCUCUUUUAGCUGCUCUUAGGUAAACAUGUUGUCAUUCCCUGGCAUUUUGCCUCGCUAAGACCAAAAAUAUGAGUGGCACAGAAAAUAAGAAAAGCUGUUCUCCUCCGCCAGGAAAAAUGAUGCUAUUUCUGAAAUAAACUGUUUUUAAUACACCUCACCAGCCAUGUGCAUAUACACACAUGUAUAAAUAUACUUGACCCGGAGGUCCAGUUCCAGUGUUGGCAUCUUGUAUGCCUAUAUGGAGACAGAACAGAGAGGGAAUUAUGUAUGUACAAACCAGGACACACCUUCGGUCCAGUCUACAUCUGAAUGCAGAACGUUGGUUAAGACAAAAUACUGAGGUCUGAUCCCCAUUAAAACAGGUUCACAGGGACUGGUCCAAACUGAGACCAGAGAGUUAUGGGCUGUCAUGAGGAGCAGCUUCUACCAUAGCGACCCAUGUGCCCCAUACCUAAAACCAGCAUCCCCAGGGUUGAACCAGAGCAGGCUGGAGCAGAUCAGUGUCAGAGCUCUAUCCACAGCAGGCCUUGUUUUUGAGGAAUGACAGUGAUGUUGGCCAGACCUCCAAGCCUCUUUUUUUUUCAGAUUUCUCUUUAUCGAGUAAACACAUAGAAGUCAACAACAGAUGGAGCAUCACAUGGAGUUACGCAGGUCAGCAAAGGCUUCGGAGACCCCGUGAGUUUGAGGAGGCAAUAAAUUGGCAGGAGAUGUGGAUGGGAAAUUAUUCUGAGGGACGGAGGAAAAAAAUAGUGGGUUGAUCUGUCGCCCCUGUGACAUGCUCAGGUUUUGUGGAGGAAGACAAAGGUGGGCAGAUAACAAAAGCUCCUGGGUAGGAAGGCUUUUGGGUUCCUCUUUGGCUGCAAAUUGUGAAAUUCAAGCAGAAAGGUAACAAACUGGUAACAAAACGGGCAGGAGUAAAGCAAAGCGAGUGCAAAACAAAAGCAGAUUUUGUGUGACAGGAGCAGAUUGAACUGAUGUGACAAAGGAGGAGGAGAGCUUUUUCAGUAGCUUGUAUAGUGCUGCGGGGAGCUGGGAGUGACAAAUGAGGAAUUUGCACAAGUGGAGAGCAACAGCGUAGGGCUGUGUGUUGAGGAAGAAAGAAAGGAGAAAAGGGAGCAAAGGACACCUAUUAAUAAAAAGAAACCUACAUUCCAUUUAAGAUUUAUUGCUAGCUCAGAGCCAGAGAAUCUUUCAUGCCUUCGCAUCUCUGAGCUAACAUUACCCAAGAGUGGGUAGUGGUGGGGAUCCACUAUGAGCCAUUGAAUUCAAGUGGAAAAGAGCUCCGGUCUUUAAUAUGCAGAAAUUAAAACACUUUGGCUGACAGAGCUUUCAAUCUGAGAAACCUGCACUGUAGUAGCAGAAUAGCAUUAGUGCUCCUGAAUACACAGCUGGUAAUUUCCGAGCACGAAAUAUCAUGCAUUGAAAAUGAAAUUGCUCCAUUUAGGAGAUCGGUGUGGUGGGGAUGGAUGAAUUCAGUGCUGGAUGAAAAAUUAAUGGUUGCCUUCAGACAGGUGUUGACUAGCUGGUGGUGUUCCAAGAAAGGACGGUCCCAUCUGGUCAUGGGGAGAGCUGUGAUGGUGCGAAAAGAAGAGAGUGAUCACCAUGGACAAAGAGCAUCCCACGAACUCAUGUCAGAGAAGAGUUUUUGUCUUGGAGGUGGAGGGCUCAGUCGGUGGGAGAAGUAGGGCUACUUCUACGUGGGGUGUGGAUGGAGAAGUUUGAGGUAAAAUGAGGCUGGAUGGUUGGAGAAACACCAGCUAACAUUGGGUGUGGACUUGAUUACAGCAUAGAAUUGCCUCUGAGGGGAGGGGGUGAGGGGCUGCCUCACGUAGGGGAGAAAUAUAUGAUAGCAGUGGGUUGGAAAGCUGAGAUUUGGGCAAAUUUGAAUGAAAAAAAGAAGCACCUUUUAGCUGACAGAUGAUUAGGAUGCACUUGAAGGACAGCAGCGUGUCUUCCCCCACACCAAACCCUGUGUGCCACCUUGGCAGUCCACGGAGGCACCUUGAGCUGACCUAUCCGGUCCGUUCUGCCGGAGGAGGGGACAAGCAGGCCCCAGCUUCCAUCAGCUGCUCUGGGUUUGCAGUUAGGGUAGAUAAAUCCUUAUACUUACAAAGCAAGGCUGCCCGCGUGCCAAGUUGAGCACUGAAUCAGAAGAUGAGCUCCCUGGGGGGGUAAUCGGUAUCUUUCAUAAACUGCAAUUGGUCAGAGGAGAUGGGGAUUUUCCUGGCUCCAGCCCACGCACCCCUGCCCAUGCUGUGUGAGACGUGCAGGGCAAUUUACCUAUCGAUAGCUCACAGUGCUGGGCAAAUAUUUGUCUUAUCGUGGGUUUAGCAGUGAUAGCUAAAGGGCAGCGGCAAAACAAAGCCCAGGAAAGACCCAACUCUGAUCCAGUGCAGCUGGGAAAGCUGGAGGCUUUCCAGUCUGUGGGUGCUCAGCGUGUCCCUGCCCGGAAGGGGCUGCGGGGGGGAGCUGGGCUCAGCACUGCAGUGACAUUUGGAGAGAGCAGGAGGUCACAGAGCUGGAAGCAAACACAGGCAGUGACUGUCCUGCAGUGCACAGCCAGAGAGCUGCCUCUGCAGAGAGAAAACACAGGCAAGCACGCCUGAAACCUGUGCUUUGCUUCACUGCGCUUUCCUCCCAUAAAAAGUCUUUUAAAAAGUAUGAGUAAAUCUUUUUCCUAAAUCCUGUUCUCUUCCCUUCCCCUUCUCGUUCCCCUUCUCCCCCCUUCUCGUUCCCCUUUCCCUUCCCUUCCCUUCCCUUCCCUUCCCUUCCCUUCCCUUCCCUUCCCUUCCCUUCCCUUCCCUUCCCUUCCCUUCCCUUCC
Molecule: long non-coding RNA, 4368 nt
Filed under: Gallus gallus (chicken)
Lineage: Eukaryota; Metazoa; Chordata; Aves; Galliformes; Phasianidae
Source: RNAcentral